RNAcentral lists this ribosomal RNA (505 nucleotides) under uncultured bacterium. Its description in RNAcentral is "partial 16S ribosomal RNA". It matches the Rfam family "Bacterial small subunit ribosomal RNA", at positions 29 to 507 of the family's 1533-position model. The record is from RNAcentral.
UACGCACGCUGGCGGCGUGCCUAAUACAUGCAAGUAGAACGCACAGUUUAUACCGUAGCUUGCUACACCAUAGACUGUGAGUUGCGAACGGGUGAGUAACGCGUAGGUAACCUGCCUGGUAGCGGGGGAUAACUAUUGGAAACGAUAGCUAAUACCGCAUAAUAUUGAUUAUUGCAUGAUAAUUGAUUGAAAGAUGCUAUUGCAUCACUACCAGAUGGACCUGCGUUGUAUUAGCUAGUAGGUGAGGUAACGGCUCACCUAGGCGACGAUACAUAGCCGACCUGAGAGGGUGAUCGGCCACACUGGGACUGAGACACGGCCCAGACUCCUACGGGAGGCAGCAGUAGGGAAUCUUCGGCAAUGGACGAAAGUCUGACCGAGCAACGCCGCGUGAGUGAAGAAGGUUGUCGGAUCGUAAAGCUCUGUUGUAAGAGAAGAACGGGUGUGAGAGUGGAAAGUUCACACUGUGACGGUAUCUUACCAGAAAGGGACGGCUAACUACGUG